RNAcentral lists this long non-coding RNA (243 nucleotides) under Bos taurus (domestic cattle). RNAcentral's name for it is "long non-coding RNA NONBTAT019549". The record is from RNAcentral. Lineage: Eukaryota; Metazoa; Chordata; Mammalia; Artiodactyla; Bovidae.
GUUUUAGUGCUGUGGAACCACAGAUGACCAUGAAUACUUGAUUACUUGACAGACUACUAAUAAAGUUAAUUGAAGUUUAAUAAGCAUUGUCAAGAUUUUCUUUUGAAAUGAUGGACUCUUCAGUAAGGUGUUGGCAUUUUAUAAAGCAAUUAACAAAGCUGUAUUGAACCUAAAAAUCGGUCACCAAUUCAGUACAUCCUAUGUGUAGUUGCCUUCCUUGGGCAGCCAUUGGCAUAUUAAAAU